Long non-coding RNA from Cervus elaphus (red deer), 849 nucleotides. RefSeq lists it as uncharacterized. NCBI's taxonomy places the organism in Eukaryota, Metazoa, Chordata, Mammalia, Artiodactyla, Cervidae. The record is from RefSeq and is a predicted model, not a curated record. The transcript has 3 exons.
GAGGGGAAGGAGUGGGAAAUAUGUAUUCAGUAAAGAUGUCUGUUGUUAGGUUAAUGGAGUGACUUUUGGAAAGCCCCUAGGCAACCUAAGGAUUGGGGCUGCUUCCAGGGAAAACAGCCAUGUGAUCAGAAGAACAUGUGAACUUUCAGUAUACCCCCAUAUCUCCAGGGGAGGGGACAGGAGUGGGAAACUGAGUCCAUUUACCAACAGUCCGUGAUUUAAUCCACUCCAAGAUGGCAGAGUAAAAGGACAUGUGCUUAUCUUUUCCUGUGAGAACACUAAACUCGCGACUAGCUGCUGAACAACGAUCAAUAGGAAAAUGUUGGAACCCACCAAAAAAGAUACUCCACAUCCAAGGACAAAGGAGCAGCCUCACCAAGAUGGUAGGAGGGGCCCAAUUGUGUUUAAAAUCAAACCUCAUACCCGCCAGAGAUGUUGCAGGGCACAAACAAAACCUUGGUGCUCCAGGGCCCAGGAGACAGGAGCAGUAACCCCACAAGAGACUGAGCCACACUUGCCUGUGAGUGUUUUGAGCUCUCUGGUGAAGGCAUGGGUUGACAGUGGCUUGCUGUGUGGCCAGGAGCACUGACAGCUGCAAUACUGGGAGACGCAGUGUGCUGGCAGAAAUUUUUUUGAAGGAGGUUGCCAUUACCCCUACCGUAGUUUGGGCUCAGGCCAAACUACAGAGAAGGGGCACAGCCCCACCCAUCUGCAGAAAAUUGGAUUAAAGAUUUACUGAGCAUGGCCCUGCCCAUCAAAGCACGGACUGGAUUUUCCUCAUAGGCAGUCCCUCCCAUCGGGAAAUUGCACAAGCCUCUUAUUCUCAUGCAUCAGAGGGCAGACAGAAAG